AUGCCGCGGUGAAUACGUUCCCGGGCCUUGUACACACCGCCCGUCAAGUCAUGAAAUGGGCAGCACCCGAAGACGGUGGCCUAACCCUUGUGGGGGGAGCCGUCUAAGGUGAGGCUCGUGAUUGGGACUAAGUCGUAACAAGGUAGC
RNAcentral lists this ribosomal RNA (147 nucleotides) under uncultured bacterium. RNAcentral's name for it is "partial 16S ribosomal RNA". It matches the Rfam family "Bacterial small subunit ribosomal RNA", at positions 1354 to 1500 of the family's 1533-position model. The record is from RNAcentral.